AUGAGAGCAGCCGGCGCGGCUCGUGGGGAUGCUGCCACCGGGCCGGGCCCCGGAGCACCGGCUCUGCCUGCUGUCCCGUGGGGACCGACCCCGGCGGGGACGGCUCGCGGCGUCCCAGCGGCGGGCGUCACGGCCGGGCGCGGCAGAACAAUGCGGCCGCCCUGGCUCGGCCCCGGGCAGCUCCGCGUCCCGCUGCGACGCGCGGCCGGGCCCCGCUCCUGCGCCCCCACAGCCCGCCCGGCCCUGACCCUGCGGCCACCGCGGGUGCCACCCGGCCUCCGGCGCAUGGUGAUGGAAAAUUUGAGGCGUUCCUUGCGCCUGUUUACGGCCCCAGCAGGCGGCACGGAGGGGAAGGGCAGUGCCCGCCGGCGCGCAGAGUUCUUGGCUCUUGGCGGAGGUUCUUUGGCAGGGCAGCGGCAGCUCUGCUGGCAGCCCCGGCGGCACCGUGGGCGCUGCGGGAUCCCAGGCCAGACGCGGACGGAGCCCCAAAGCCACCCGCGGGAGACAGCCCGGGCUGGACCCCACAGAGGGGACGGGGACGGCCUCGGGGUGGUGACACGAUGGCGCUCCCGUCCCCGGGGAGCGCUUCCGGAGAUUCAGCCCCGCUUCCUUCCCCGCGCCGGCCGGGCUCGCCCUGGGCUCCCCACCCUUGUCCGGGCUGGGUGGCUCCUGUCCCCGCAGUCCCCGUCCUGGCGGCGGCGGGCGGGUGGGGGCCACCGCUACUGCUGGGUGACGUUCCUGUCCUCGUGGCGCAUUCAUUCCCGGGGACGGGGACAGGGGGUGAGCUGGCACCGGCAGGGACGGGGACACCGCGGGGAGCGGCCGUCCCCGUGUCCCCAGCAGCCAGGGCUCCUGGAGGGCGCCGAGGCCGGUCGGGCGCUGUCCCCGCUGCCUGCCGAGGGGACACCGGGGCAGGGAGGGUCCCAGCACAGGACUGUUUGUCCCCGCCGUGUCGCUCCGGGAGCAGAUGGCGGCGGGGCUGCGGUGGCCCAGCCUCUCCCCAGCUGCCUUGGGGCUGACUUCAUCCCCGCUGGCGGUGACGCUCGGGCGCUGCCUUCCCUCCUGCCACCCUCGCUCGCCGGGCGCAGGCAGGACGUGGGGACAGCCACCGCCGCAUCUGCCGCUCCCUGUCCCCGUCCCCUGCACCGAGUGGCCUGCUCAGGGCAGCCUGGCUCCUGCUGGGCACACAGGCCCCCGCCCUGGGGACACCUCUGUGGGGACACCUCUGUGGGGACACCGCCUCCCUGGGGACACCGCUAUGGGGGGAC
Molecule: long non-coding RNA, 1268 nt
Filed under: Anser cygnoides (Swan goose)
Lineage: Eukaryota; Metazoa; Chordata; Aves; Anseriformes; Anatidae
Description: lncRNA (ENSACDG00005000213.1)
Source: RNAcentral